AGGAUGAACGCUGGCGGCGUGCCUAAUACAUGCAAGUCGAGCGGUAAGGCCACUUCGGUGGUACACGAGCGGCGGACGGGUGAGUAACACGUAGGAACGUACCCCAAACUGAGGGAUAAGCACCAGAAAUGGUGUCUAAUACCGCAUGUGCUCUUCGGAGUAAAGCUUCGGCGGUUUGGGAACGGCCUGCGCAUGAUUAGCUUGUUGGUGAGGUAAAAGCUCACCAAGGCGACGAUCAUUAGCUGGUCUGAGAGGAUGACCAGCCACACUGGGACUGAGAUACGGCCCAGACUCCUACGGGAGGCAGCAGUAGGGAAUUUUCCACAAUGGACGAAAGUCUGAUGGAGCAACGCCGCGUGCAGGAUGAAGGCUUUCGGGUCGUAAACUGCUUUUAUAUGUGACGAUUAUGACGGUAGCAUAUGAAUAAGGAUCGGCUAACUCCGUGCCAGCAGCCGC
Molecule: ribosomal RNA, 456 nt
Filed under: uncultured bacterium
Lineage: Bacteria
Description: SSU rRNA
Rfam family: Bacterial small subunit ribosomal RNA
Source: RNAcentral